This 788-nucleotide ribosomal RNA is filed under the name uncultured bacterium. Its description in RNAcentral is "bacterial SSU rRNA". It matches the Rfam family "Bacterial small subunit ribosomal RNA", at positions 8 to 796 of the family's 1533-position model. The record is from RNAcentral.
AGAGUUUGAUCAUGGCUCAGGACGAACGCUGGCGGCGUGCUUAACACAUGCAAGUCGAACGGAAAGGCCUCUUCGGGGGUACUCGAGUGGCGAACGGGUGAGUAACACGUGGGUGAUCUGCCCUGCACUUCGGGAUAAGCUUGGGAAACUGGGUCUAAUACCGGAUAGGACCGCAUGCUGCAUGGUGUGUGGUGGAAAGUUUUUAAUGGUGUGGGAUGGGCCCGCGGCCUAUCAGCUUGUUGGUGGGGUGAUGGCCUACCAAGGCGACGACGGGUAGCCGGCCUGAGAGGGUGUCCGGCCACACUGGGACUGAGAUACGGCCCAGACUCCUACGGGAGGCAGCAGUGGGGAAUAUUGCACAAUGGGCGCAAGCCUGAUGCAGCGACGCCGCGUGGGGGAUGACGGCCUUCGGGUUGUAAACCUCUUUCACCAUCGGCGAAGCCGGGAGCUUUUGUUUCUGGUGACGGUAGGUGGAGAAGAAGCACCGGCCAACUACGUGCCAGCAGCCGCGGUAAUACGUAGGGUGCGAGCGUUGUCCGGAAUUACUGGGCGUAAAGAGCUCGUAGGUGGUUUGUCGCGUUGUUCGUGAAAUUCCCUGGCUUAACUGGGGGCGUGCGGGCGAUACGGGCAGACUGGAGUACUGCAGGGGAGACUGGAAUUCCUGGUGUAGCGGUGGAAUGCGCAGAUAUCAGGAGGAACACCGGUGGCGAAGGCGGGUCUCUGGGCAGUAACUGACGCUGAGGAGCGAAAGCGUGGGGAGCGAACAGGAUUAGAUACCCCGGUAGUCC